Molecule: small nuclear RNA, 106 nt
Organism: Suricata suricatta (meerkat)
Lineage: Eukaryota; Metazoa; Chordata; Mammalia; Carnivora; Herpestidae
Source: Ensembl
GUGCUCACUUUGGCAGCACAUAUACUAAAAUUGGAACAAUAUAGAGAGGAUUAGCAUGGCCCCUGGGCAAGGGUGACAUGCAGAUUUAUGAGUGUUCCAUACUUUU